Non-coding RNA from Rhizobium etli CFN 42, 78 nucleotides. Lineage: Bacteria; Pseudomonadati; Pseudomonadota; Alphaproteobacteria; Hyphomicrobiales; Rhizobiaceae. The record is from Rfam.
AGCUGUUCCCCUCUGGAGGUUUAUUGACCUUCACACUUCAUGGGCCGCGGUUUCCGCUGGCCCAUUUUUUUAUCUCCC